GAUGAACGCUGGCGGCGUGCUUAACACAUGCAAGUCGAACGUGAAGAAGCAGCAAUGUUUCUGAAAGUGGCGGACGGGUGAGUAACACGUGGGUGACCUGCCUUGCAGAGGGGGAUAACGAGGGGAAACCUUCGCUAAUACCGCAUAGGCUUACACUGAUGGGAAUGGUGUGGGUAAAACUGAGGUGCUGCAAGAGGGGCCUGCGUCCGAUUAGCUAGUUGGUGAGGUAAUGGCUCACCAAGGCGAUGAUCGGUAGCUGGUCUGAGAGGACGAUCAGCCACACGGGAACUGAGAAACGGUCCCGACUCCUACGGGGGGCAGCAGUGAGGAAUAUUGGGCAAUGGACGAAAGUCUGACCCAGCAACGCCGCGUGGAGGAUGAAGGUUUUUGGAUUGUAAAGUUCUUUUGCCCGUGACGAUGAUGACGGUAACGGGAGAAUAAGCACCGGCUAACUACGUG
Molecule: ribosomal RNA, 459 nt
Filed under: uncultured bacterium
Lineage: Bacteria
Description: bacterial SSU rRNA
Rfam family: Bacterial small subunit ribosomal RNA
Source: RNAcentral